Non-coding RNA from Physcomitrium patens, 1333 nucleotides. NCBI's taxonomy places the organism in Eukaryota, Viridiplantae, Streptophyta, Bryopsida, Funariales, Funariaceae. The record is from RefSeq and is a predicted model, not a curated record.
UGCAUCGAUGGAUCCAUGAGAGCAAGCACCCGAUAGAGUGGUUGUGUCAAUGCCGAGCAUGUACCUACAGUGGGACCGUGAUCCUGAUCCUGCAUUUUACGCAUGCUCUCCAUCUGCGAUUGUCUCCGCCGCUAGGUUCCUCUCGUCAUGGUGAAGCGUUCGCGAUGCGAUGUUGUGGAGUAUGGGAAGUAAAACCUUAGUUAUUAGGGUUUCGGGUGAGUACAUGACUUUGGACUCAACGAUGCCGUGGAAUUGGUGAAAGCGGGGGGGGGGAGGGGGGGGGGGUUGUGGAGUUUGUCGUGUGGAGGAAGAGCGGGGCAGUGGAGGAGCUGCGCGGAGGCGGUGGGAGAGGCACGGCAUCGCAAUUGAGCGUUUCGGGUUUCGGAGGCGGAGGAAGCGCAAAAACCCGAGAGGGAUGGAUGUGGAUCCUCGCCUUUUUGAAAAUGUGAAGGUGAGCGACAGCGAGGUGCGCAAGAUUGUGUUGUCGUAUCUCGUUCACAAUUGCUUCAAAGAGACAGCUGAAUCGUUCAUUGCCUGCUCUGGCAUGAAGCGCACGGCCGACUGCUCUGUUGAUAUCGACAAGAGAAAACCAAUUUACAACCAUGUACUGGAAGGGAAUGCUCUGAAGGCCAUCGAGCUUACAAACGAGCUUGCUGUGGAUCUUCUAACUUCCAAUCCGGAUGUACAUUUUGAUCUUCUGAUACUCCACUUUAUCGAGCUAGUUCGAGCUAAGGAUUGUGCGAGUGCAUUGGAGUUUGCUCAGAAAGAGCUGCGACCUUUUGGGAAACUACUAGAGCGAUGCCUAGAUAAGCUCCAGGAUUGUAUGGCGUUGCUAGCAUAUGAUGAUCCCGAAACUUCUCCCAUGUUUCAUUAUCUGUCUUUGGAAUAUCGCCAUAGCGUGGCAGAUGCGCUGAAUUCUGCCGUUUUAGCGCAUGCCAAUUUACCAAGCUAUACAUCAAUGGAGAGAUUGCUGCAACACACAACAGUUGUAAGGCAGCGGCUUAAUCAAGAACUUGGCAAGGAUGGACCUCCAACCUUCACACUUAAAGCGUUCUUGAAAAGCUAGAUAACGUUUCCGACGUGUUGAAGCUUGUUAGAUUCAAGCCAGUGAUCAUGAAGUGUAAAUCUAUGUAAAGAUCCAUGUAUACACAUUAGGAGCAUGAAUCUGCUUGAGGACCAACCCUAAAAAUUGCUCAAUCAUCGUCUCAAAAGUGGGGAGAGUAGUCUACCUGCACUUGUUUAGAUGGGUUUGGUCUUUCACGUUUUACUUAAUUCUAUUUACUUGUAUAUGCACACGGAUAUCAUAAAUAAUAUUCCGUACUAUUUUGCUACA